GUAAAGAGUUCAGAGUUAGUAGUGAAGAAAAUAUGGAGAAGAUAAUGCACAGAGAAGUUGAGAAACAAAGGAGACAAGAAAUGACUUCUCUUUACGUGUCUUCUCGGUCUUCACUCUAUUGAGUUCAUCCAGGGAAAGCGUUCUACGUCAGAUCAGUUGAACGAGGAGGUGAAUUACAUAAAGUAUCUUCAGAGGGGGAGUAUAAAUGCACACGGUAUGAAUGAAAGUUUUACACGUGAUAAAACUUAUGUUUAGUGAUGUAGAUAGCAUCAUUUAUUUAGUACCAAAAUUUAUGUUUCAAAGUUUGUUAGGUGAUAUUUUAUGUGUCAAUCUUGUCAGCGUACUGCUGAUCAUUCUACCAAACAGCAUAAGCAUUACACAACCGAACAUAAAGUUUCUGUUUUUAUAUCUAAGAAACAAAAGGAUAGAAGUAAAACCUCAUCCUCACUGUUGGGACGCUAAAGACCGUGCUGGCUGAUGUUAAGCACCGUGCUUGGCGAUGAAGCAGUGGCCCGAUGGUUGUGUCACAAGAAACCAUUUUCACUCUUAACAAGCCCAAGCAAGCGCCUUUGGGUGAGCGAUUAGCCGAUUAUUACUCAGCGAGUUGUAUUUUUCACAAAAAUCCCAAAUCUAUUCAUUAUUUUCAUUUUAAGCACAUA
Molecule: long non-coding RNA, 659 nt
Organism: Brassica rapa (field mustard)
Lineage: Eukaryota; Viridiplantae; Streptophyta; Magnoliopsida; Brassicales; Brassicaceae
Source: RefSeq, a predicted model, not a curated record